CUUAAACUCGGGAGGCGGAGGUUGACGUGAGCUGAAAUCACACCAUUGCACUUCAGCCUGGCCUUGAAGGCGAAACUCCAUCUCACAAGAAAAAAAAAGAAAAGAAAAGAGUCCUAAUAGUCCCUAGGUCCAGCCCAUGCUCAAAAGGAGAGGAUUAUACAGGACAUGAAUAUGAGGAGGCUGUUUGCCACAGUCCUCAAAGACAUCCUCACUCUGCCCUCUCACAACAUUUUGAGAGGCUGAGGCAGGAGGAUUGCUUGAGGCCAGCAGUUGGAGACCAGCCUGAGCAACACAGGGAGCUCUGGUCUCUGCAAAAAAUACACAAAAUUAGCCAGGUGUGGUGGUGCAUGCCUAUCGUUCCAUCUACUUGAGAGGCUGAGGGGGAAGGACUGAUUGAGCCCAGGGGUCUUGGGACAGGGGUGUGGGUUGAGGCUGCAAUGAGCCGACAUUGCCCCACUGCACUCCCACCUGGAUGACAGAGUGAGACCCCGAUUCAAAAAAAAAAAAAAAACCCUCACUCUGCAUCCCUAAUGGCCAUGUUGGCCUGGAUGGUCUCCAUCUCUUGACCUUGUGAUCUGCCCGCGCUCCUUCCCCCCUGCUGCUUCUCCAUCUCCAUCUCUCCAUCUUCAGCUCCUGGCCUUUCCUGGCAUGGGGCAGGGCAGUGGUUGUGGGAUCCUCCUCCAGCUUGUGCAGGCCUGGGCCGCCCUGGUCAGUGUGACUGGGCAACAGUGCAGUUCACGCCCUGGAUUGGCAGUGGCAGCAGAAGGAGGCGAGGGAGGGACCUCCAGGCAGGAGACGCCGCCGCGCCCCCAGCAGCAGGCAGGGCGGGGGAGAAAGACGCCAGGAAUGGCCAAGGGUCGCCCAGGACUGCGCCCCCUGAUUCCUGCCCGCGAGCAGCUGCUGGGACCCCUCCCUGCCAAGUUGCUCCCCGAAAAGCUCUAAGGCGCUCAGAACUGCAGGGAGAGACCCUUCUUCCUCACUGUGGCGAAGCACUCUAUUGUCCUGACCCCACAGUUCCUGUCCCAUGACCAGGGCCAGCUCACCAAGGAGCUGCAGCAGCAGCACAUAGUCAGUGCCAUCCCUCAUGCGAGCACCUGAGGAAGGUGAGUGAGUGCAGACAGAUAGGGCCUGGUGCCCUUGAACAGUUCCUGGUCUUGGCUGCCCCACGCCUCACAGGGGGCCAUGCUGGGGGAAGCGUAGGCAGUCACAGUACUGGCUUUUCCCUCCUUUUUCCUUCCAUAUAAGUGUCUUAGUGAUGGGGCAGACUAGUUGACUUAUUUGGAUAAAAACUGCUAUCUUGUGUCAGAAACUCAAAAAGAAUCACUGCUGGCAUGUUAAUCUAAAGAAAAACAACCAGACAAGUGCCCAGUGAUACUUAAAAAGGUUAUUUAUUUGUUUAUUUGAGACAGAGUCUUGCUCUCUGAUCCAAGCUGGAGUGCAAUGGUGUGAUCUUGGCUCACUGCAACCUCUGCCUCCUGAGUCCAAGCGAUUAUCCUGUCUCAGCCUCCCAAGUAGCUGGAACUAUAAGCAUGUGCCACCACACUGGCUAAUUUUGUAUUUUUAGUAGAGACGGGGUUUCGCCAUGUUAGCCAAGCUGGUAUUUAACUCCUGACCUCAGGCGGUCGUCUUGUCUCAUCCUCCCAAAGGUCUGGGAUUACAGGGGUGAGCCACCACACUUGGCCUAAAGGUUACUUAUUAUCCUGCAAAAUUUAGGCUGGGUAUGGUGGCUCAUGCCUGUAAUCCCAGCAUGUUGGGAGGCAGAGGUAGGCAAAUCACCUGAGGUUAGGAGUUCAAGACCAGCCUGACCAGUAUGGUGAAAUCUCAUCUCUACUAAAAAUACAAAAAUGAGCCAGGGUUUGUGAAUAGAGGGUGGGCGUCCGUGUCCCAUCAGUGUGAUGGGAGCUGAGAAGCCCAUCAGAUGGAGAGGAAAGGGCUGCACCUGCUGGGAGGUUUGCAAUAUGGAAGUCACUAGGAGUGACGUGACCAGGAUGUGAAUGGGGACUGUAUUGUCCUUUGUUUUGUAAAAUGCAUAUGGGGCAGAUCAUUGAUUGACCCAAAGGAGAAAGGGUCUUAAAGUCCUUAUGUUAUCCAAACAUAAAGAAAUGACAGGCUAGGUGUGGUGGCUCAUACCUGUAACUGGGAGGCUGAGGCCAGCAGAUCAGUGAGGUCAGGAGUUCCAGACCAGCCUGACCAAUAUGGUGAAACCCUGUGUCUACUAAAAAUACAAAAAUUAGCC
This 2236-nucleotide long non-coding RNA is filed under the name Aotus nancymaae (Ma's night monkey). RNAcentral describes it as "lncRNA (ENSANAG00000038931.1)". The record is from RNAcentral. Lineage: Eukaryota; Metazoa; Chordata; Mammalia; Primates; Aotidae.